UGAGGAAUAUUGGUCAAUGGACGCAAGUCUGAACCAGCCAUGCCGCGUGAAGGAUGAAGGCCUUCUGGGUUGUAAACUUCUUUUACCUGGGAAGAAAAGUAUGGUUUCUACUAUACCCGACGGUACCAGAGGAAUAAGCACCGGCUAACUCCGUGCCAGCAGCCGCGGUAAUACGGAGGGUGCAAGCGUUAUCCGGAUUUACUGGGUUUAAAGGGUGUGUAGGCGGGCUUUUAAGUCAGUGGUGAAAUCUCCGGGCUCAACCUGGAAACUGCCAUUGAUACUAUUAGUCUUGAAUUCUGUUGAGGUAGGCGGAAUAAGUCAUGUAGCGGUGAAAUGCUUAGAUAUGACUUAGAACACCAAUUGCGAAGGCAGCUUGCUAAACAGAUAUUGACGCUGAGGCACGAAAGCGUGGGGAUCAAACAGG
Molecule: ribosomal RNA, 424 nt
Filed under: uncultured bacterium
Lineage: Bacteria
Description: bacterial SSU rRNA
Rfam family: Bacterial small subunit ribosomal RNA
Source: RNAcentral